CCUACGGGGGGCUGCAGUGGGGAAUAUUGGACAAUGGGGGCAACCCUGAUCCAGCCAUGCCGCGUGUGUGAAGAAGGCCCUCGGGUUGUAAAGCACUUUCAGUGAGGAAGAACGCCUGGUGGUUAAUACCCAUCAGGAAAGACAUCACUCACAGAAGAAGCACCGGCUAACUCCGUGCCAGCAGCCGCGGUAAUACGGAGGGUGCGAGCGUUAAUCGGAAUUACUGGGCGUAAAGCGCGCGUAGGUGGCUUGAUAAGCCGGUUGUGAAAGCCCCGGGCUCAACCUGGGAACGGCAUCCGGAACUGUCAAGCUAGAGUGCAGGAGAGGAAGGUAGAAUUCCCGGUUUAGCGGUGAAAUGCGUAGAGAUCGGGAGGAAUACCAGUGGCGAAGGCGGCCUUCUGCACUGACACUGACACUGAGGUGCGAGAGCGUGGGUAGCAAACAGGAUUAGAUACCCGUGUAGUC
This 465-nucleotide ribosomal RNA is filed under the name Vreelandella stevensii. RNAcentral describes it as "partial 16S ribosomal RNA". It matches the Rfam family "Bacterial small subunit ribosomal RNA", at positions 338 to 795 of the family's 1533-position model. Lineage: Bacteria; Pseudomonadati; Pseudomonadota; Gammaproteobacteria; Oceanospirillales; Halomonadaceae. The record is from RNAcentral.